UGAUUUGGAUGGACCACCAGAUGCACCACCUUCUCCUCCAAAGACACCCCAAAUCUACGACCACUAUGACAAUUAUCUCUCUGACGCUGAAUCACAUGCCCCAGUUAUACCUGUUGCACCUCUCACCGAUCAUACAACUACCAUUGACGUUGUCCACACAAACAUCGCCAACCUGAGAGGCGAGAUGAGCACUUUGCGCGUGGACUUCCACGGCUUUAUGGAUGUAGCGACAGAGAACCUGAAUCACAUUUGCCAGCACUUCUACUCGU
RNAcentral lists this long non-coding RNA (269 nucleotides) under Lathyrus oleraceus (garden pea). RNAcentral's name for it is "Pisum sativum (pea) long non-coding RNA (PSAT_LNC002465)". The record is from RNAcentral. Lineage: Eukaryota; Viridiplantae; Streptophyta; Magnoliopsida; Fabales; Fabaceae.